RNAcentral lists this long non-coding RNA (1269 nucleotides) under Vulpes vulpes (red fox). Its description in RNAcentral is "lncRNA (ENSVVUG00000002854.1)". Lineage: Eukaryota; Metazoa; Chordata; Mammalia; Carnivora; Canidae. The record is from RNAcentral.
GGACGCCAGAGGACGCCUGUCCAGGUAGGUACACAAAGCACAGGUGGGCACACGGCAGGAAACUGCCACAGGCUGGGCCUCCACUAUGACAAGCCAGACCUGUCCCUGGUAAGGGGGAGACUGCGUCAGGCCGAGGACCCCCGGCCCCUCUGCAGCGGGCCCUGCGCUGCUCGGGACCAGGCGGAGGCGGGGCCCACGAGCCCUGGGGCCACCUGCGAAGGCCGGGACCCACCGGCAAGCACCCGACCCUCGUGCACAGGGACAGUGUCAGUACCGGGACACCUGCCCCCCACGCCCCGCGCACGUCCCCUGGAGAAGCCCCAGAGCCACACAGUCAGCAGGAGGAGGGCAGACCUCACGCCCUCCGCCCUCCACCCCCAGGGGAAGAGGGGAGGCAGGAAGGGGUCGGUCACGCUCCACCUCCACCUGCUGAAGCCCAGGCUGGCCCAGGAGGCAGCUGGACGGGGACCAGGCUGCCACCGGGGGCGGGGGACCUGCGGGUCCCCCCAGAGCCUGUGCUGCUGGCACACAGCAGGCUGCAGAGAGGGACCGGCCCCACCGAAGCACGACCCCCAGAUCCGUGCAGGCUCCUCUGCUCCUCGCACCCGCGGGUCACUGACUCCCCCAGGCCUCCGGCCUCCCCACGGGCCCACGGAGCUGGGCGGCCAGGCCCUGGGACUGGGCCACGAGCCUUCCCGACACGGGCUUCCCGCCCCCAUCACCCAGAGGAGCAAAGCCCAGGCUGUGUGUCCCUGGACAGGCCGGGGGGUCUCGGCCCCUGGGCCUUCUCUGCAAUCAAGUGUCCUCGGCCAAGCUCUGAGCGAGGUCAACGCCCGGGUCACCACGGGUCCCCCGACCCCAAUUCCCCGACUUCAGCCCCCGCGGGAGGUGGGCCCCGCCAGCUUCCCGCAGCCAGGGACUGGGGGGGGGGUCGCAGGGACACUGGCACGCGGGGCGGGAACGGGGCGUCGGGACCGCACCCCACGACCAAGGGCCGAGGCUCCGGUCGGGACCCCGGGGUCUGCGAGACCCGGCCGCGGCCACUGCCAGCCGGGACAGGUGGACGCCCCGCACACCCCACACCUGGGGCAGCGCCGGGCAGGUGAGCCUCGGCCGCGAGGUUGGGGUCCGCGCCCGGGCCCGACUGGACGGUUUCCACACGAGGAGCUAAUUGCACCGCGCUGCAGGCCUCGGCGCUCCGAUUGGACGAUAAAGUGGGCCCUGCGACCUGAUUGGAAGGUGUUUAAGAUUUUAUCUAUUUAUUCAUGA